This 494-nucleotide ribosomal RNA is filed under the name uncultured bacterium. RNAcentral's name for it is "partial 16S ribosomal RNA". It matches the Rfam family "Bacterial small subunit ribosomal RNA", at positions 28 to 507 of the family's 1533-position model. The record is from RNAcentral.
GACGAACGCUGGCGGCGUGCUUAACACAUGCAAGUCGAACGGAAAGGCCUGCUUUCCCUUGUGGUUUGCGGGUACUCGAGUGGCGAACGGGUGAGUAACACGUGAGUGAUCUGCCCCCAACUUGGGUAUAAGCCUGGGAAACUGGGUCUAAUUCCCGAUAGGACUGCAGGGUGGUGCCUGUGGUGGAAAACGAUUUUCUAGUGGUUGGGGAUGAGCUGGCGGCCUAUCAGCUUGGUGGUGGGGUAAUGGCCUACCAAGGCGGCGACGGGUAGCCGGCGUGAGAGGGUGGACGGCGACAUUGAGACUGGGAUACGGCCCAGACUGGUACGGGAGGUAGCAGUGGGGAGUAUUGGAGCAAGGGCGGAAGCCUGAUGCAGCGACGCCGCGUGGGGGAUGACGGGCUUCGGGUUGUAAACUCCUUGCGACCGCGGGGAAGCCACCUGGUUGGAAGGGUGGUGACGGUAGUGGUAGAAGAAGCACCGGCUAACUACGUG